AUGAAACUAAUAAGUUGGAACUGCCGGGGGUUAGGGAAUGGCCUGGCAGUUCGUGCACUCCUGGAUCUUGGGAGGAAGUAGGACCCCGAUAUUUUGUUCUUGGCUGAGACUAGAAUGAUGGAGGAGGAGAUGGAAUGGCUGAGGUGGAAGCUAGGGCUCGCUAGCAUGGUGGCUUGGAACCCGGAGGGGAGGAGCAGGGGGGUGGCGUUGUUCUGGAGAAGAGGGGUGGAUGUUACCUUGAGGUUGAUGGGGAGGAGGCAUAUAGAUGCAGAUGUUAUGGAUGAGAAGGGGGUCUCGAGGCUUACUGGGGUGUACGGGGAGUCACAAUGGGAGAAGAAAGUGGAGACCUGGAGGGUUCUACGCACACUCAAGCAACAACACCAAGAGGGUAGGGCAUGGAUGUGUCUUGGAGACUUCAAUGACAUAUUGAGCAACGAUUAG
RNAcentral lists this ribosomal RNA (441 nucleotides) under Triticum aestivum (bread wheat). RNAcentral's name for it is "partial small subunit ribosomal RNA". The record is from RNAcentral. Lineage: Eukaryota; Viridiplantae; Streptophyta; Magnoliopsida; Poales; Poaceae.